Molecule: ribosomal RNA, 511 nt
Filed under: uncultured bacterium
Lineage: Bacteria
Description: bacterial SSU rRNA
Rfam family: Bacterial small subunit ribosomal RNA
Source: RNAcentral
AUUGAACGCUGGCGGCAUGCCUAACACAUGCAAGUCGAACGGUAACGCGGGGGCAACCCUGGCGACGAGUGGCGGACGGGUGAGUAAUACGUAGGAAUCUGCCCAUUUGUGGGGGAUAACCCGGCGAAAGCCGGGCUAAUACCGCAUACGCUCUACGGAGGAAAGCGGGGGAUCGUAAGACCUCGCGCUAAUGGAUGAGCCUACGUCGGAUUAGCUAGUUGGUAGGGUAACGGCCUACCAAGGCGACGAUCCGUAGCUGGUCUGAGAGGACGAUCAGCCACACUGGGACUGAGACACGGCCCAGACUCCUACGGGAGGCAGCAGUGGGGAAUAUUGGACAAUGGGGGCAACCCUGAUCCAGCAAUGCCGCGUGUGUGAAGAAGGCCUGCGCGUUGUAAAGCACUUUCAGAGGGGAAGAAAAAUCGGAGCUAUCACCUCGGUCUUGACGUUACCCUUAGAAGAAGCACCGGCUAACUCCGUGCCAGCAGCCGCGGUAAUACGGAGGGUGCAA